UGGGGAAUCUUGCACAAUGGGGGAAACCCUGAUGCAGCGACGCCGCGUGAGCGAUGAAGCCCUUCGGGGUGUAAAGCUCUUUCGACAGGAACGAUUAUGACGGUACCUGGAGAAGAAGCUGCGGCUAACUACGUGCCAGCAGCCGCGGUAAUACGUAGGCAGCAAGCGUUGUUCGGAGUUACUGGGCGUAAAGAGUGUGUAGGCGGUUCUCCAAGUCUGGUGUGAAAUCUCCCGGCUUAACCGGGAGGGUGCGCCGGAAACUGGAGGGCUUGAGUGUGGGAGAGGAAAGCGGAAUUCCUGGUGUAGCGGUGAAAUGCGUAGAUAUCAGGAGGAACACCGGUGGUGUAGACGGCUUUCUGGACCAUUACUGACGCUGAGACACGAAAGCGUGGGGAGCAAACAGGAUUAGAUACCCUGGUAGUCCACGCCCUAAACGAUGCAUACUUGGUGUGAGCCGUUCAUUCGGUUCGUGCCGGAGCUAACGCGUUAAGUAUGCCGCCUGGGGAGUACGGUCGCAAGGCUGAAACUCAAAUGAAUUGACGGGGUCAUAGCUG
This 554-nucleotide ribosomal RNA is filed under the name uncultured bacterium. Its description in RNAcentral is "partial 16S ribosomal RNA". It matches the Rfam family "Bacterial small subunit ribosomal RNA", at positions 355 to 932 of the family's 1533-position model. The record is from RNAcentral.